RNAcentral lists this unclassified non-coding RNA (326 nucleotides) under Hevea brasiliensis (rubber tree). The record is from RNAcentral. Lineage: Eukaryota; Viridiplantae; Streptophyta; Magnoliopsida; Malpighiales; Euphorbiaceae.
GCCAUUACCUUGUAUCUGCAACUAAAAAUUUUUCUUGAAGAAGACAUUGGAUUUCUAUGUCUGUUUACAGUUUUCCUUGGUCUUUCGUCCUUUUUUUGGGGGGAAUUGGUAUCAUUAUGGAUUUCACCCUAUUCUUGAGGCUGUGUUGAUCUCCCUUGCAACAUAGCAGUGUCAUUUAAUGAACUUCCUGUUGACCUGACAUUCCAUUCUGCCUUUUCUUUACUUUCACAUAUUUGUAUUAUUUUUAUAAAGCAGAUGUUUAAUGUCUUAGAAGCACUGUGUGCCUGUUAGACUGCUAUGGAUGGAGAUGUUUAACAUUUGCUUAU